UCCCCCCCUCUUUCCCUUCUUUUCUUGUGAUGCCAAGAACAGAAUCUAGGACCUUGGGCAUGUGAUUUGCUGCAUGUCCUUUUGUGGCUCCAUAGCUUUUGAUAGCAAAAGGAACCUGGAGCAAGAAAAGAAGGACCACUUCUAGAAAACACAUAUGGGCACACCAUGUGUAGAGUUCAGUGUAGCAUCUUGUAAGAGGCUCAUGUUGACAUCUCCCAACUACUCCAAGAUGUCCACGUGCCACUGCUGGUAAGGGGUAUCUACCUGUCCCCUGUUCAGCAGUGUCACUCUCAGAUGACUGCCUGGUGCAGGCAUCAGCUCUGAGCAUAGUGGCUUUAGUGGGUGCCCCAUGCAGUUUGUCCCAGGACAUUUGACUGAGGACUUAGGAUUGUUGAAGAUGCUCUUAUCACCAUGGAAACUAAGCAGAUGUUGGCAGGUGGUGAUGGUUUUUUGGAGCUGAUGAAGAGACCACACUGCCUUUCUUCAGAACCAUGCCAACUCCCAGAGCUGUUCAAAGCCCACCGCCCAGAAGGAGAGGCAGUAUGGACUGCAGCGUGCCAUGAGACAGGAAGUGGCUCCUCAACAAACCUGAACAUUCGCAGAGGCAGGAGGGUCAUGCAGCUAUGGCCGGGAGAGUGGUUUCAGAGCUGUGUCACCGCUGUUCAAGAACUCACAAUAGAAGAUGCAGACACACACCUGCCAGGCAGACCUCAGCAGUCAGAGAGCAUCUGGUUCCACCAAGUGUCUGGCACCAGCCAGUCCCACUGGAAGUAAAGAGAUGUCGUCUCUAAACUCAG
RNAcentral lists this long non-coding RNA (797 nucleotides) under Mus spicilegus (steppe mouse). Its description in RNAcentral is "lncRNA (ENSMSIG00000012142.1)". Lineage: Eukaryota; Metazoa; Chordata; Mammalia; Rodentia; Muridae. The record is from RNAcentral.